CUAAGAAAUGCAAGUCGAGCGAGGCAUGGAGCUUGCUCCGGAAGCCUAGCGGCGAACGGUCGCGUAACACGUAAGCAACCUGCCCCAAAGUUUGGGAUAGCCCUCCGAAAGGGGGAUUAAUACCGGAUGUGGAUGUCGAUAUGCAUGUAUUGACAUCUAAAGCAUUUAUGCGCUUUGGGAUGGGCUUGCGGCCUAUCAGCUAGUUGGUGAGGUAACGGCUCACCAAGGCGACGACGGGUAGCUGGUCUGAGAGGAUGGUCAGCCGGACUGGGACUGAGACACGGCCCAGACUCCUACGGGGGGCAGCAAUUAGGAAUCUUGGGCAAUGGGCGAAAGCCUUGACGCAGCGACGUCGCGUGAACGAUGAAGUCUUUCGGGAUGUAAAGUUCUUUUCUGAGGGAAGAAGGAUGUGACGGUACCUCAGGAAUAAGCCCCGGCUAACUACGUGCCAGCAGCCGCGGUAAUACGUAGGGGGCGAGCGUUGUCCGAAUUUACUGGGCGUAAAGCGCGCGUAGGCGGACUCUUAAGUUGGUGGUGAAAUGCCGAGGCUCAACCUCGGAACUGCCUUCAAAACUGGGAGUCUAGAGGCUUGGAGAGGGAAGUGGAAUUCCUGGUGUAGCGGUGAAAUGCGUAGAUAUCAGGAGGAACACCGAUGGCGAAGGCAGCUUCCUGGCCAUGUCCUGACGCUGAGGUGCCGAAAGCUAGGGUAGCGAACGGGAUAAGAUACCCCGGUAGUCCUAGCCGUAAACGAUGGAUACUAGGUGUAAGAGGGAUCGACCCCUCUAGUGCCGAAGCAAA
This 798-nucleotide ribosomal RNA is filed under the name uncultured organism. RNAcentral describes it as "bacterial SSU rRNA". It matches the Rfam family "Bacterial small subunit ribosomal RNA", at positions 48 to 855 of the family's 1533-position model. The record is from RNAcentral.